This 300-nucleotide ribosomal RNA is filed under the name uncultured Lactobacillus sp. Its description in RNAcentral is "bacterial SSU rRNA". It matches the Rfam family "Bacterial small subunit ribosomal RNA", at positions 496 to 795 of the family's 1533-position model. The record is from RNAcentral. Lineage: Bacteria; Bacillati; Bacillota; Bacilli; Lactobacillales; Lactobacillaceae.
GCGUAUCCCAGGCCGGCAGCCGCGUGGUUACGGAGGAGGGUAGCGUUGUGCGGAAGUACUGGGCGGAAAGCGCACGUAGGCGGAACAGAAAGUCAGAGGUGAAAUCCCAGGGCUCAACCUUGGAACUGCCUGUGAAACUCCUGGUCUUGAGGUCGAGAGAGGUGAGUGGAAUUCCGAGUGUAGAGGUGAAAUUCGUAGAUAUUCGGAGGAACACCAGUGGCGAAGGCGGCUCACUGGCUCGAUACUGACGCUGAGGUGCGAAAGCGUGGGGAGCAAACAGGAUUAGAUACCCCGGUAGUC